RNAcentral lists this ribosomal RNA (490 nucleotides) under uncultured bacterium. Its description in RNAcentral is "partial 16S ribosomal RNA". It matches the Rfam family "Bacterial small subunit ribosomal RNA", at positions 30 to 507 of the family's 1533-position model. The record is from RNAcentral.
AUUGAACGCUGGCGGCAGGCCUAACACAUGCAAGUCGAACGGUAACAGGAAGCAGCUUGCUGCUUCGCUGACGAGUGGCGGACGUGUGAGUAAUGUCUGGGAAACUGCCUGAUGGAGGGGGAUAACUACUGGAAACGGUAGCUAAUACCGCAUAACGUCGCAAGACCAAAGAGGGGGACCUUAGGGCCUCUUGCCAUCGGAUGUGCCCAGAUGGGAUUAGCUAGUAGGUGGGGUAACGGCUCACCUAGGCGACGAUCCCUAGCUGGUCUGAGAGGAUGACCAGCCACACUGGAACUGAGACACGGUCCAGACUCCUACGGGAGGCAGCAGUGGGGAAUAUUGCACAAUGGGCGCAAGCCUGAUGCAGCCAUGCCGCGUGUAUGAAGAAGGCCUUCGGGUUGUAAAGUACUUUCGGCGGGGAGGAAGGGAGUAAAGUUAAUACCUUUGCUCAUUGACGUUACCCGCAGAAGAAGCACCGGCUAACUCCGUG